AGAUUUCCAAUAACUUUCAUCUGUAUUUGUUAAAAGAAGUUAUGCUAGUGUUUUCACUACUAUUGGAAUGCCUUUGCAUUUUUUUACUAUUUCAUUCCCAAUUCUUAACAAGUUUGGAUGGUGCCUCUCUUGGCCUUCUUUAAAUGCACUUUUAGUAAACAAAGCUGCACACUCAUCAUAAGGAAGGCCUGAUAAUUCAUGCGGUGCUGAAAUAGUGCCCAU
RNAcentral lists this unclassified non-coding RNA (222 nucleotides) under Hevea brasiliensis (rubber tree). The record is from RNAcentral. Lineage: Eukaryota; Viridiplantae; Streptophyta; Magnoliopsida; Malpighiales; Euphorbiaceae.